Molecule: transfer RNA, 77 nt
Filed under: Sphingomonas sediminicola
Lineage: Bacteria; Pseudomonadati; Pseudomonadota; Alphaproteobacteria; Sphingomonadales; Sphingomonadaceae
Also listed under: 2 other names
Description: tRNA-Arg
Rfam family: tRNA
About the family: Transfer RNA (tRNA) molecules are approximately 80 nucleotides in length. Their secondary structure includes four short double-helical elements and three loops (D, anti-codon, and T loops). Further hydrogen bonds mediate the characteristic L-shaped molecular structure. tRNAs have two regions of fundamental functional importance: the anti-codon, which is responsible for specific mRNA codon recognition, and the 3' end, to which the tRNAs corresponding amino acid is attached (by aminoacyl-tRNA synthetases). tRNAs cope with the degeneracy of the genetic code in two manners: having more than one tRNA (with a specific anti-codon) for a particular amino acid; and 'wobble' base-pairing, i.e. permitting non-standard base-pairing at the 3rd anti-codon position.
Source: RNAcentral
GGCUCCGUAGCUCAGCAGGAUAGAGCGUCGGUUUCCUAAACCGCAGGUCGGGGGUUCGAGUCCCUCCGGGGCCACCA